This 319-nucleotide ribosomal RNA is filed under the name uncultured soil bacterium. RNAcentral describes it as "bacterial SSU rRNA". It matches the Rfam family "Bacterial small subunit ribosomal RNA", at positions 26 to 355 of the family's 1533-position model. The record is from RNAcentral.
AGAUUGAACGCUGGCGGCAUGCCUAACACAUGCAAGUCGAACGGGAGUAGCAAUACUCUAGUGGCGGACGGGUGAGGAAUACGUAGGAAUUUGCCCUUAAGUGGGGGAUAACCCGGGGAAACCCGGAUUAAUACCGCAUGACCUCGAAAGAGCAAAGUGGGGGAUCGCAAGACCUCACGCUUUUGGAGAAGCCUACGUCGGAUUAGCUAGUUGGUGAGGUAAUGGCUCACCAAGGCGACGAUCCGUAACUGGUCUGAGAGGAUGAUCAGUCACACCGGAACUGAGACACGGGUCCGGACUCCGUACGGGAGGCAGCAGG